Molecule: ribosomal RNA, 447 nt
Filed under: uncultured bacterium
Lineage: Bacteria
Description: bacterial SSU rRNA
Rfam family: Bacterial small subunit ribosomal RNA
Source: RNAcentral
UGGGGAAUAUUGGACAAUGGGCGCAAGCCUGAUCCAGCCAUGCCGCGUGAGUGACGAAGGCCUUAGGGUUGUAAAGCUCUUUUGGCGGGGACGAUAAUGACGGUACCCGCAGAAUAAGCCCCGGCUAACUCCGUGCCAGCAGCCGCGGUAAUACGGAGGGUGCAAGCGUUGUUCGGAAUUACUGGGCGUAAAGCGCGUGUAGGUGGUCGAGCAAGUCGAGUGUGAAAGCCCCGAGCUUAACUUGGGAAUUGCGCUCGAAACUACUUGGCUGGAGUGUGGCAGAGGAGGGUGGAAUUCCACGUGUAGCGGUGAAAUGCGUAGAGAUGUGGAGGAACACCGAUGGCGAAGGCAGCCCUCUGGGCCAACACUGACGCUCAUGCACGAAAGCGUGGGGAGCAAACAGGAUUAGAUACCCUAGUAGUCCCUGAGCGGGCUGGCAAGGCGCAU